AUGCUGAUACACUUAUCCCCCCACCACAACAUCACACAGACCAUUCAACACACUCCUCACGUCCUCUGGCCACACAGUAAAUACACACAUACCACAGAGCUCAUGUCUGGGCUGGCCUGGUGCCCUCCUCUGGGCUUCUGCCCCCAGCCUUGGCAUUUUACCCCCCAUUAAGGGCAGGGACCAAUCCAUCUCCAUUUUCCUCCAUUUCAGCUCAGGGCCCUGCACCAAGUCUCUCCCAGUUAUUGCUUGGAGCUGGACCCCUCCCACAGUCACCACUGUCACAGUCCCACCUUCUUCAAGGUCUCAAACACCCCUCCCCUGUUUCUGGCAGAAGCCGUCCUCACUCCCUCUAUUGCCUCUCCAGGCCCAGACUUCCACCCUCAGGUCACCCUCACCUGGGCUUUGGGGUGCCACAUACCCUGCCCCAGGCCCUGGCCUCUGGAAUGGCUGGUGACUGGAACUGGGCCAGAGGGUUAAGCUCAUGUCUGUCUGGAGCCUCAACUUUCUUCUCUGUAAAAUGGGCUAACACUGAAAGCACCUUGCAGAAUCUCAGCAGCGUCACAGUCGACAUUGUUAGCGCGGCCAGCAGACUCCUGCUGGGCUGAGUUUGUGGGUAACCCAAGUCUGAGCAGGUACAGUUCCUCCCUCAGAGCCCGGGACACAGUGAGCAUACAAUAGACAUUAGCUGCCAUGGUCUCUUGAUUUCAAGCCCAGUGCAGGUGCAUGUGACUCAUGAAACUUCAGUGACAUCUGCUCUGUGCCAGACACUGAAGAUGGAGCAGCGAACAGCACUGACCCAACCUGCCCUCUUGUUGCCUACAGGCCAGAAACGAGGUCUCGCUGUGUUACCCGGGCUGGAGUGCAGUGGCUACUUACAGGCAUGAUCAUAGCACACUGCAGCCUCGAACUCCUGGACUAAAGCAGUUCUCCUGCCUCAGCCUCCAAAGCAGCUGGGACUGCAGACACGCACCACAGACAGAGCCCAGCCUGAGUCAUUCUGAUUCUGUAACUGGCUUCCUCUCGGUGAGCUGGCUCACACCCUCCACCCCCAGCUGGAGAAGGAAAGAGGAUGCUCACCGUUCAUUCCUCAUGCAGGCCAUCGAUGGAAAUGUCAGAUAGUGCGAGUCCACGCCUGAACACCUCUGGGGUCCGCUCUGGGACUGACACUGGCAGAUUCAUCGAUGAGCUCCCGCCUGCCACCUCUGGGCCUGCAUUGCGGUGAUAUGGCCAAGGGCCUGGGUCUUCAAUUCUCCAGACUUGCCGAAUGCACAGCGCAGGCUUCGUCGGCAACUGCAGACAAGCAGAGGCAGCACCUGGGCUCUGCCUGUGCCUGGUACAGUGAGGCGAGGGUGGGGGUAGGAAUGAGGGUCCUCUCCGUGCAAGGGGGGAAGAUAGAAGAACAGAAUUUCACCCUAACAUAGUGUCUUUAGACCAUGAAAUGCUGUGCUCCUGUUAGUCUGAUAUCAGGGGCUUGCAGCCUGGCAAGGGAAAAGAAAAACAGGCUGAGGCACGUGAUAGAAGACAGGCAGGGAUGCCACAAUCAUAACCAUGGCAAAGACUAGGAUCAGACAGGCCCACCAUCUCUGACCCCAAAUCCCUGGGCAGAUGGUUCCAGAACUCAGAAUUUUCCCAGUUUUAGAAAGAUGGGGCCAGGUGCAGUGGCUCACACCUGUAAUCCCAGCACUUUGGGAGGACGAGGUGGGUGGAUCACCUGAGGUCAGGAGUUCGAGACCAGCCUGGCCAACAUGGUGAAACCCUGUUUCUACUAAAAAUGCAAAAAACGACAAAAAAAAAAAAAAAACUUAGCCGGGUGUGGUGGUGCAUGCCUGUAAUCCCAGCUGCUUGGGAGGCUGAGGCAGGAGAAUUCCUUGAACCCGGGAGGCGGAGGUUGCAGUGAGCCAAGAUCGAGCCACUGCACUCCAGUCCGGGCAACAGAGCGAGAGUCCAUUCCCCCUCC
Molecule: RNA transcript, 1957 nt
Organism: Mandrillus leucophaeus (drill)
Lineage: Eukaryota; Metazoa; Chordata; Mammalia; Primates; Cercopithecidae
Exons: 3
Source: RefSeq, a predicted model, not a curated record